GAUGAACGCUGGCGGCGUGCCUAAUACAUGCAAGUCGAGCGAACGGACGCUGAUCUUGCUUUUUUCACGUUAGCGGCGGACGUGUGUGUAACACGUGUAAAACCUCCCUAUCAUACUGGUAACUCUUCGGAACACCGGCUCUAACACCGUAUAAUCUUUUGCACCGCAUGGUUCAUAAGUGAAAGUCGGUCUUUCUGUCACGUAUAGAGGGUUCUGCGCUGCAUUAUCUAGUUGUUAAGGUACCGGCUUUCCAAGGCAACGAUGCAUAGCCGACCUGAGAGGGUGAUCGGCCACACUGGAACUGAGACACGGUCCAGACGCCUACGGGAGGCAGCAGUAGGGAAUCGUCCGCAAUGGGCGAAAGCCUGACGGAGCAACGCCGAGUGAGUGAUGACGGUCUUCGGGUCGUAAAACUCUGUUAUUAGGGAAGAACAUAUGUGUAAGUAACUGUGCACAUCUUGACGGUACCUAAUCAGAAAGCCACGGCUAACUACGUG
This 497-nucleotide ribosomal RNA is filed under the name uncultured bacterium. RNAcentral describes it as "partial 16S ribosomal RNA". It matches the Rfam family "Bacterial small subunit ribosomal RNA", at positions 28 to 507 of the family's 1533-position model. The record is from RNAcentral.